This is a long non-coding RNA of Magnolia sinica, 503 nucleotides long. RefSeq lists it as uncharacterized. Lineage: Eukaryota; Viridiplantae; Streptophyta; Magnoliopsida; Magnoliales; Magnoliaceae. The record is from RefSeq and is a predicted model, not a curated record. The transcript is spliced from 3 exons.
GGGCUUCAAAAUCACCAGGCAGUCUGUGGAGGUCCAUUCCAAGUUGGAAAGCUGUGUCAACAAACAAGUACCCAUCUGCUGGGCAUUUCAUGUCCAAUCAGUAAAGCCUUGUGGUUGUCUUGGAGGGCUCGUCAGAUUCGCAUCAGCCUCCUCUGUUGAAACACUCGAGAUACCACAAAAGAGAAGUAUAGGUCAACUGUCAAGCAGUGUGAAAAGGCAAUGGUCAUCCAGUCCUCAAGAGAUGGAAAACGGUGUUGGAAAUUCACAUUCCCAUGAAUCACAUCAAUUGAUUGGUUCCGCUGUUGUCAACAAAGAAACAAAGAUGAUAGAGAAAAAUGUGAACAUGUCCAUUUGUUGACCAAGUUUUCCAGUGGCUAUGGCCAUGACAUCAGACGCAAGGGAAGAAGAACCAAUCUGAUGCAGAGAACCCUCGACAAGUGACAUCUGCACCCACAGGUGAGAAGUUUCUGCACAACAUUUGUUACGUUCAUUGCACGUGCUGG